GACAUUGUGUCUGAUUAAAAGUAGUAAACUGUAAAUUUACUUAUGAGAUCUAGUUUCUCUUAUGUCA
Molecule: transfer RNA, 67 nt
Filed under: Tetraponera aethiops
Lineage: Eukaryota; Metazoa; Arthropoda; Insecta; Hymenoptera; Formicidae
Description: tRNA-Tyr
Source: RNAcentral